Molecule: long non-coding RNA, 539 nt
Filed under: Nicotiana benthamiana
Lineage: Eukaryota; Viridiplantae; Streptophyta; Magnoliopsida; Solanales; Solanaceae
Description: long non-coding RNA (NBEN_LNC010844)
Source: RNAcentral
AACAAAAACCCUAGCCCCCCCCCCCCCUCUCGAAAAAUCCCUCAUGCUGCAACAACCAAAACCAAACGACCCUCCGUUCUGCAUCUUCUUCUUCGUUUCUGAAUAUACAUUCACAUACAAAAUAGAGAUGAGGAAUUUCAGUCCAAACAAUCGAGUAAACAAUAGUGAAAAUAGAUCUGCGACAAAACCUAAAUCACAAAAUAUAUAGCUACACAAAAAAGGAGCAUCAGCGAAAAACACAAGGAGGAAGGUAGGGAUUCGAGGUUGCCGAUUCAAGGCUCGUUAAGAUCGAGCGUUGGUCCGCGUUCUUGGAUCUUUGAUGCUGAAUCUCGUUGAAAUUUUGGGGUCAAAACAGUGUGUUUGUUGGUUCUACAAUUGCUGCUUAAGAUAAAUAGUUAAAGGUUCAUCCAUUUUCUUAUUAUUGUUUUGCAAUUUUUGUCUAUUUAGUUUUAACUUGAUAUUGUUGAUUGUUCUAUGUGUUGUGUAUUGGUUUGAUCUUGUGAGAAGUCACUUCAGAAAUAUAGAAUUGUAUUCUGGCA